CGGGACCUAUGGGAGGCAGCAGUGGGGAAUAUUGGGCAAUGAGCGCAAGCCUGACCCAGCAACGCCGCGUGAAGGAAGAAGGCUUUCGGGUUGUAAACUUCUUUUCUCAGGGACGAAGAAAGUGACGGUACCUGAGGAAUAAGCCACGGCUAACUACGUGCCAGCAGCCGCGGUAAUACGUAGGUGGCAAGCGUUAUCCGGAUUUACUGGGUGUAAAGGGCGUGUAGGCGGGGAAGCAAGUCAGAUGUGAAAACCACGGGCU
This 262-nucleotide ribosomal RNA is filed under the name uncultured bacterium. RNAcentral describes it as "partial 16S ribosomal RNA". It matches the Rfam family "Bacterial small subunit ribosomal RNA", at positions 331 to 609 of the family's 1533-position model. The record is from RNAcentral.